AGCCACAGCCAUAUCACCCUGCAGCCCAACACUGGUUGCCCACUGAAGCUAAGCAGGUUUGAGCCUGGUCAGUAGCUGGAUGGGAGACCUCGUGGGAAAACUAGGUUGCUGUUGGAA
This 117-nucleotide ribosomal RNA is filed under the name Sinocyclocheilus grahami. Lineage: Eukaryota; Metazoa; Chordata; Actinopteri; Cypriniformes; Cyprinidae. The record is from RNAcentral.